AGCAGUGAGGAAUAUUUGGUCCAAUGACCCUAANCGGUUGAACCAGCAACUUGGGAGAAUGUAUAGCUUUCGCUACAUGUACAAACUAUACAUGAUGUAGAAUUUCAUUAAAGUUCUAGGUAUAUUUUGAUAAUGACAAAUUUUGCCUAUAUGUCUUGACUAAAUCAUGUGCCAGCAGUCGCGGCAAUACAUGAAAGACUAGUGUUAUUCAUCUUAAUUUGGUUUAAAGGGUACCUAGACAGUCAAAUAAGCCUAUAAUAAAACAAAGGUACUAUUAGACUAGAGUUUAAUGUAAGAGGGGAGGAUAGAACAAGUAGAGUAGCGAUGAAAUGUGUUGAUUCACUUUGUAGACUGGUAAAGGCAAAAGCAACCUUUUAUGUAAAAACUGACGUUGAGGGACGAAGGCGACGAUUAACAAACAGGAUUAGAUACCCAAGUAAUGAGUGCAGUCAAUGAUGAAUGCCAUAUGUAAGAUAAUUUUUAUGUAUAAAUGAAAGUGUAAGCAUUCCACCUCAAGAGUAAAGUGGCAACGCAGGAACUGAAAUCAUUAGACCGUUUCUGAGAACAGUAGUGAAGUAUGUUGUUUAAUUUGAUGAUCCACGGAAAACCUUACCACAAUUUGAAUAUUUACAUAUUUAUAUGUUUAUACAAGCGUUGCACGGCUGUCUUCAGUUAAUGUCGUGAGACUAUGGUUAGCUCCAUUAAAUUAACGUAAACCCUUAUUUUAUUUUUUAUAAAAUAGUUCCUUAUUAUAUUGAAAAUUGAUAACAGGGACUAAGACAAGUCAUCAUGGCCUUAACAUUGUGGGCUAUAGACGUGCCACAU
This 825-nucleotide ribosomal RNA is filed under the name Ingvariella bispora. Its description in RNAcentral is "mitochondrial SSU rRNA". It matches the Rfam family "Bacterial small subunit ribosomal RNA", at positions 350 to 1230 of the family's 1533-position model. Lineage: Eukaryota; Fungi; Ascomycota; Lecanoromycetes; Ostropales; Graphidaceae. The record is from RNAcentral.